CCCUCCCCCUCGCUCCGCCCCGACCCUCGGGCCGCUCGCCUCCCCACCGCGCCGCCGCGGUCGCGCCAUCCCACCGAGAUCCCGCCACGCGUGGCACACCUAACGCGCCAAGCCUCCCCACCGGCCGCCGCUCCGCCGUCGACCCGCAGCCGCGGCGCCGCCCCAGUCUCGCCGCGCCUCCGCCCUCGCGCCGAGCCGCCGCCGGGCAUGUCCGUUCGCGCUCGGGCCGCUCGCCUCCCCACCGCACCACGCAGCGGCGCCCCAGUCCGCAUCCCCUGCUACCCAAACAACCACCAUCGCGGCCGCCGCCUCAUUGGCAUCUCCCUCCAGUGCUUCGGAUCUGAGUUUGGCCGCCGCUUCUCGCCGACCGCUCCGUCGCAGGUCUCAAGCCACCGACCACGAGGCCGACGCCACCCUACGGGACGCAGAGCAGGUGCCUUUAUUUUUUUCGCCGAGCCAACAACAAGCGCCGUCAUCAACGUCGUCGUCGUGCGAGGGCGUCGUCUGUUGUACCACCACGUCAACGCCGAGGCCGAGUCCUGACUGUCGCGACCUGUGAGGCUAUGUAUCUGCCUCUCCCUCCAAUGACGAGAUCCUCCGUGGCCUUUCUAGGUGACCCUCCAAUAUCAGUUGGCUUGGCAGGUUGGUAGGAAUCAAGUUACAGCUGAAACACUUUAAUUAGUUUGGCAAAAAGUGAGAGACCGAGCUUCAGUUGUUAUGACGAUGGGUCCUUUUUCAGAGAACCAAAAUACUGGCAAUUGGUGUGUUCUACAAUUUUUCUGCAGGCUGAUGUGUGCUACGAAGAGUGUCUAUAUCUCCCUCUACACCAGGUAAUGUUUGCUUUAUUCUUUCAUUCUGAAUUCUUGCAGAUUAAAUCAAAACAUUAUCUUUUUCGUUUUAUGUUUUGAGUUUUUUUUGGAGGGCUGAAGAGGUACUCUAUGGACCAGGUCGUUGAUAAAAUCAACUGGGAGCUGGUAAUGAUGAACAUAUAACACAAGUACUGGUCCAUUUGAAACAUAGAAAACAAAACCAAAGACAACUAGGGUUAUGGAUAUAGAUACCCUUUUGAAUCCAUCGCAGGUGCGCGCAACAGCUAGAUAUCUCUCAUUCCAAGUGCAGUAGUUUUACUUAGCACACAGAUAGAGUAGGAAUUGAAGCUUUCCUUGGUUGUAUUACUUAGCACACAGAUGGAGGGCGAACUGAAGCUUUUCUAAUAUCUUUCCUCGUUAGAUUUAUUUCACUUUCUCUUCUGUAAUCUUCAGAAAAUGAAAAGCUUGCUACUAUGUGAAAUUGCAAGCAACAAAGCUUAUUCUUCACAGAGAUGGAACUGCAGUACACAUUUGUCUGGUAUCUUUUCUCCCUUUCUUCUUGUGUAUAAUUUUGUUGGGUAUUAUAUACAGUCAUAUAAUUCCUCUCUUCCGAAUCGACAUCACGUACACAGUCAUAUACUUGUAUAUUAUACAUGUAUAUUACUGGCUCACAUGAACAGAGUAUGAGGGAAUUUGUAAUAGUAAUUCUAUAUUAUAUUUUUUAUCUCCCACCUAUGAAAUAAUUGAUAAUACUUCUGUACUUCUACCAUUACUUGUUUUUAGGAUUUUCCCUAUCAAAUAAUGAUGCAAAUUAUGUGUCUUCUGCCUUGGUCUAAAGCAUAUUUCCUGAAUGAAUAUGCUUACCUGAUUUUGUUUAAGUAGUUUUCUCCGAAGUAUUCAUGUGUUAAGUGACAUAAUUAUUUUCAUUUUCUUCGAGGGAGGGCCUUCUGUAACCGGCGCUGCUCCCUUGCUUGCUGUAUUUUUGUGAAAUGGGUUUGUUAUUGUCCCAUGGCGGUGGUCUUUUCUUGCGUGUGUGUUGCAAUCAGUCGCUGAAGUCCCCAUCAUUACUUGCUGCAUUCUACGAACCUGAACCUUAAUAUUGAACGAUCCAAAUGUUGGAGGAUUCAGUUGCGUUUUAGGCAAACUGAAACUCCAUCUAGGUGGACAUAAUGAAAAUUAGAACAAGUGCCCUAUACUUAAUAGUUCAGUUAGUGCUGCCAGGAAAAAAAUAUUGAACCCCAACAAUAGUUGUAGUUAUGCUAUAGCUGAUUUUUUUUUCUUCACUGGAAUGGACAUUGUAGUUCAGGGAUUGUGGUUCAGUGACAGUUGCAUGGUAUUCUUCUGUUAUCUGAAAUUUGAUUCUAUCUUCAGAUUUCUGAAUAUUCAGAUAGCGUUAGUCAUCUUGAUUUGUCGACUGAAUGUAUUUAAGACGAAUUACAAGUUCAGUGAUCAAGAAAUUUCUUUUUAUCAUAUUUUGCUCAAACUCAAAAGGAAACACAAUUUUCAGAGGCUACUAUCAUGCUUUUUUUUCUCUUGAAAAAGGCCACUAACAUGUUCUGAGUAAAGUCUGAAUUUUCGUUCUGCUUUGUACUUUUCAUACAGGCAAUUAUGCCUUUUAAAUCUUCAUUGUAUAGCUAUUAUAUCUCUUCCUUUGCAGUUCCAUUUGCAGGCAUGGAGGACAAGUUGAUUUGCAAGGAGAAUCUUUCUCUUUGGUAAGAACCAGAUUUUCUUCUCCAAUGAGGUCAGUUGUCUGCAAUUACCAGUAUAACAUAUUUGGGAUCAAACAUCGAUAUGGAUAUGUGAUAAAUUUUUUCAUAUUGAUUAUGGGAAUAUUCGCUGAAGUAGAGUUCUUUAUGCAUAUGUGUGCAGCCCUAAUCUGUAUAUCUUCCCCUUAAAAGUAUUGCCAUAGAUUGAGUUUCUUGUUGUCACAUGAUAGAUAGCAGAAUGAAGGAUCUUGCUCCUUUUCUUUUGUAGGAUUUCAAAAUUGAGGCUUGUUUAUUAGUACGAGUCGCUAUUUGUGAAUCUGUUGUGAUGUUUUGGCGGCUUGCUGAAAAGUAAGAGUAUGUCUAGGUUGAUGUUUUAUGUAAUAUUAAAUGUCAAGUGGUAUAUACAGUUGCCAUUUUGUUAUGUACUUGCAAACAUUUUUGAUUAAUUGUUGGGAAUUAGCACAUAAGAUGCGUUUGCAGCACUGCCCAAGACAAAUGAGAUCAAUUUUUAAGUUU
Panicum hallii is the source of this 3031-nucleotide long non-coding RNA. RefSeq lists it as uncharacterized. The record is from RefSeq and is a predicted model, not a curated record. Lineage: Eukaryota; Viridiplantae; Streptophyta; Magnoliopsida; Poales; Poaceae. The transcript has 3 exons.